AACCCAUGGUGAGUGCACCUUCUCAAUAGAUCUUUGUAUCUUUCCCAUGCAUCAUAAAGUGUUUCUAAAUCUAUCUGCACAAAAAAAGAGAUAGCAUUCCUUAAUUU
Gossypium hirsutum (cotton) is the source of this 107-nucleotide non-coding RNA. The record is from Rfam. Lineage: Eukaryota; Viridiplantae; Streptophyta; Magnoliopsida; Malvales; Malvaceae.